AAGUCGUAACAAGGUUUCCGUAGGUGAACCUGCGGAAGGAUCAUUAACGAGUUUUUGAAAGGGGUUGUAGCUGGCCAAAAACAAGGCAUGUGCACACCCUGCUCAAUCCACUCUCAAACCCCUGUGCACUUAUUGUAGGCUAUGGUGGGAUAGCUGGCUUCGGUCAGUUUGAAAGCCUUGUCUAUGUUUAUUACAAACGCUUCAGUUAAAGAAUGUCACAUAGCGUCUAACGCAUUAUAUACAACUUUCAGCAACGGAUCUCUUGGCUCUC
This 271-nucleotide unclassified non-coding RNA is filed under the name air metagenome. RNAcentral describes it as "partial contains small subunit ribosomal RNA, internal transcribed spacer 1, and 5.8S ribosomal RNA". The stretch from base 1 to 46 matches the Rfam family "Eukaryotic small subunit ribosomal RNA", at positions 1786 to 1831 of the family's 1831-position model. The record is from RNAcentral.